RNAcentral lists this ribosomal RNA (451 nucleotides) under uncultured organism. RNAcentral's name for it is "partial 16S ribosomal RNA". It matches the Rfam family "Bacterial small subunit ribosomal RNA", at positions 330 to 797 of the family's 1533-position model. The record is from RNAcentral.
CGUACACUCCUACGGGAGGCAGCAGUGGGGAAUAUUAGACAAUGGGCGCAAGCCUGAUCCAGCCAUGCCGCGUGAGUGAUGAAGGCCCUAGGGUUGUAAAGCUCUUUCACCGGUGAAGAUAAUGACGGUAACCGGAGAAGAAGCCCCGGCUAACUUCGUGCCAGCAGCCGCGGUAAUACGAAGGGGGCUAGCGUUGUUCGGAUUUACUGGGCGUAAAGCGCACGUAGGCGGACUAUUAAGUCAGGGGUGAAAUCCCGGGGCUCAACCCCGGAACUGCCUUUGAUACUGGUAGUCUUGAGUUCGAGAGAGGUGAGUGGAAUUCCGAGUGUAGAGGUGAAAUUCGUAGAUAUUCGGAGGAACACCAGUGGCGAAGGCGGCUCACUGGCUCGAUACUGACGCUGAGGUGCGAAAGCGUGGGGAGCAAACAGGAUUAGAAACCCCGGUAGUCCCA